RNAcentral lists this ribosomal RNA (1372 nucleotides) under uncultured bacterium. RNAcentral's name for it is "bacterial SSU rRNA". It matches the Rfam family "Bacterial small subunit ribosomal RNA", at positions 28 to 1381 of the family's 1533-position model. The record is from RNAcentral.
GAUGAACGCUGGCGGCGUGCCUAAUACAUGCAAGUCGAGCGAACGGACGAGAAGCUUGCUUCUCUGAUGUUAGCGGCGGACGGGUGAGUAACACGUGGAUAACCUACCUAUAAGACUGGGAUAACUUCGGGAAACCGGAGCUAAUACCGAAUGAUAUUUUGAACCGCAUGGUUCAAAAGUGAAAGACGGUCUUGCUGUCACUUAUAGAUGGAUCCGCGCUGCAUUAGCUAGUUGGUAAGGUAACGGCUUACCAAGGCAACGAUGCAUAGCCGACCUGAGAGGGUGAUCGGCCACACUGGAACUGAGACACGGUCCAGACUCCUACGGGAGGCAGCAGUAGGGAAUCUUCCGCAAUGGGCGAAAGCCUGACGGAGCAACGCCGCGUGAGUGAUGAAGGUCUUCGGAUCGUNAAACUCUGUUAUUAGGGAAGAACAUAUGUGUAAGUAACUGUGCACAUCUUGACGGUACCUAAUCAGAAAGCCACGGCUAACUACGUGCCAGCAGCCGCGGUAAUACGUAGGUGGCAAGCGUUAUCCGGAAUUAUUGGGCGUAAAGCGCGCGUAGGCGGUUUUUUAAGUCUGAUGUGAAAGCCCACGGCUCAACCGUGGAGGGUCAUUGGAAACUGGAAAACUUGAGUGCAGAAGAGGAAAGUGGAAUUCCAUGUGUAGCGGUGAAAUGCGCAGAGAUAUGGAGGAACACCAGUGGCGAAGGCGACUUUCUGGUCUGUAACUGACGCUGAUGUGCGAAAGCGUGGGGAUCAAACAGGAUUAGAUACCCUGGUAGUCCACGCCGUAAACGAUGAGUGCUAAGUGUUAGGGGGUUUCCGCCCCUUAGUGCUGCAGCUAACGCAUUAAGCACUCCGCCUGGGGAGUACGACCGCAAGGUUGAAACUCAAAGGAAUUGACGGGGACCCACACAAGCGGUGGAGCAUGUGGUUUAAUUCGAAGCAACGCGAAGAACCUUACCAAAUCUUGACAUCCUUUGACAACUCUAGAGAUAGAGCCUUCCCCUUCGGGGGACAAAGUGACAGGUGGUGCAUGGUUGUCGUCAGCUCGUGUCGUGAGAUGUUGGGUUAAGUCCCGCAACGAGCGCAACCCUUAAGCUUAGUUGCCAUCAUUAAGUUGGGCACUCUAAGUUGACUGCCGGUGACAAACCGGAGGAAGGUGGGGAUGACGUCAAAUCAUCAUGCCCCUUAUGAUUUGGGCUACACACGUGCUACAAUGGACAAUACAAAGGGCAGCGAAACCGCGAGGUCAAGCAAAUCCCAUAAAGUUGUUCUCAGUUCGGAUUGUAGUCUGCAACUCGACUACAUGAAGCUGGAAUCGCUAGUAAUCGUAGAUCAGCAUGCUACGGUGAAUACGUUCCCGGGUCU